This 5444-nucleotide long non-coding RNA is filed under the name Sus scrofa (pig). RNAcentral describes it as "lncRNA (ENSSSCG00000053983.1)". The record is from RNAcentral. Lineage: Eukaryota; Metazoa; Chordata; Mammalia; Artiodactyla; Suidae.
UGGCACAGUGGCUUAAGGAUCCGGCAUUGUCACUGCAGUAGCUCGGGUCACUGCUAUGGCUCAGGUUCAAUCCCUGGCCCAGGAACUUCCACAUGCCAUGGGUAUGACCAAAUAAAUAAAUAAAUAAAAAUGCGAAGCAACCUCUUAUAUGUGUAAUCUAAAAAAUAAUGCCAACAAAACAGAAGAAGACUCACAGACAUAGAAAACAAACUUACGGUUGCCAAAGAGGAAAAAGGGAGGAGGGAUAAAUUAGGAGUUUGUGAUUAACAGAUACACACUACUGUACAUAAAAGAGAUAAACAACAAGAUAUUGAUCUAAGUGUUCCCCCGAUGAAAGGAGACAAUGAGGGGAACAGGUCAGGACCAUCGGACUCCCUUGGAACGAGCAUGACUGGACUUUGGACAGGACCCUAAAACCAACACAACCAGAGAAGGACAGUCAGGAAACGGCAUCUGCAACUCAAAACCUAACGUCUCCCCCUGAAUGAGAAGAACUUCCAAAAAUCUGAGAAUACCAUUUGCUGCUUCGUGAGCGAGAAUGUGAAAAAUCAGAGGCCGUAAAUCACCCUGAGUUACCCCACAGAGAAUGGAAUGUAAGAUGAUACUAGGCACAUAUUUUCAUUAUAAGAGUACUAAAUAGUGGUAAGAAUUAAAAACUUGAGAAAGCAUAUGAAACAAGUAUGAAGAUCAUGAAAUCGACUUCAACUAAAUAUUGUAAAAGGAAAUAUAAUUAAAGUACAGAUUACGACUCCUUUGAAAUGAGGAUAGGGAUGUGGAACAGAAGGAACCAUAAAAAUUCAAUACUAGAAGCAGCAGCUAGAAAUGGAUUAAGAAAGUAAAAACCUCAGCAGCAUACACUGCAUCCUGUAACUUUUCCAACAAGGGAGAAAAUUUCGCUCUGAAAUAUAAAACAUAGUCAUCUACACCGGGAAAAAUACUUUUGACAAUUUUUUCUAUCUUUUAAUCAAAAUACAAAAAAGGAAAGGUAAAAAUCAUACACAAUCUCGUCAUUCUUUCAAAAGUAUAAACUGUAAGAAGUGACGGUCCCCUCCCCUGCUCCUCCAAUCCCACCCUCAGUCCCUGGAGCCACUUCAGGGACACAAUUCGGGGCCAAAUGUCCAUUAGCAUGCGCGUGUGCACAAUCGUGUACACAGCCCUAACUUAGACACAUACACGCAACUUUUAUAAAAAUAGGCAAAUUGGAAUUCCCUCAGGGGUUAGUGAACCCGACUAGCAUCCACGAGGACGCAGGUUUGAUCCCUGGCCUCGCUCAGUGGGUUAAGGAUCUGGUGCUACCAUAAGCUGUGGUGUAGGUCGCAGACUCGGCUUGGAUUCCGUGUUGCUGUGGCUGUGGUGUAGGCUGGCAGCUGCAGCUCCGAUUCAGCCCCCUACCGUGGGAACCUCCAUAUGCUGUGAGUGUGACCCUAAAAAAGACCAAAAAAAAAAAAAAAGGAAUUAAAAAUAAGCAAACAGGAGUUCCCGCUGUGGCAAAGCAGAAAUGAACCCAACUAGGAUCCAUGAGGAUGAUGGUUCGAUCCCUAGCCCUGCUCAGUGGGUUAAGGAUCUGGUGCUACCAUAAGCUGUGGUGUAGGUCGCAGACCCGGCUUGGAUCCCAUGCUGCUUCGGCUGUGGCUGUGGCAUAGGCCGGCAGCUACAACUCCAAUUGGACCCCUAGCCUGGGAACCUCCAUAUGCUGUGGGUACAGGCUUAAAAAAAAAAAAAAAAAAAAAAAAAAAAAAAAAAGGCAAACAUUCCGUAUGAGUCAUCGAUUUGCUCUCUUUCUGAAUAUAUUUUAGAAUUUAAGAUCUAAAAAAGGUAACAAGUUGAAUAUUUUUAAAGUAAUAUCAAAAAAGAGUAAAAAAUUGAUCAACUACUUUUCUAAGUGUACUUAGAGUAUCUCUGUGGCUUCUUUUUUUUUUUUUUUUUUUUUUUUUUUGCUGCACCCAUGGCAUAUGGAAGUUCCCGGGCCAGAGACAAAUCCAAGCUGAAGCUGCAAUCUAUACCACAACUGCAGCAAUGCUGGUCCUUUAACCCGCUGGUCCUUUAACCCACUGCUCCAGGCCAGGGACUGAACUCGCACUUCUGCAGCCAGUGCAACCUGGGCUGCUGCAGUUGGAGUCUUAACCCACAGUGCCACAGUGGAACUCCUCUGUGUGGUUUCUUUAAGAUUCCACAUAGCUCCCAGCCAUGGCACCUCUGGCAUCUUGGUUAAAGCCAGAUAUGAACAAGCGUCUCCCGAAGGCCAGUGUGAGAGCAGUGAACUAGGGAUGGUGUUGGAAUGGUGACCAGGAAAAAUACAGCCUGGGACGGAGAAAGGAGGAGCAGGGGAGGCAUACAGGCAUCUGUGUGAUGGGGAAAUGGAAAAAGGGAGGCACAAAGCCCAGCCACGGUCAUGCACAAAGCCAGGAGAAGCCCAGAGGUUCUGAGACCCAUCCAAGCAGCGCUCAUUAUACAUACAUGCUCUCUUCAACUGUCCAAUUAGCCAGGGCCCAGAUAAACUACUUAGGUCUAUACAAGGAAUUCGUAUGCAAUAAUGUCUUAUUUAAACUUUUUCCCCUCUAGUUAUAGAUAUAAUCCAUGUUCACGAUAGAAAAUAUGGAAAAGUCUGAAAAGUAAAGGGAAAUAACUAAUAACAAUCAUCUGUAUUAAAUCCAACCCAUUUCUUUCAACAUUUAUCCAACAGUCACAAUAUUUAUUAGGAUCCACCAUUGCCAGACACAUCAGAAAGCAACAGAGAAACAAAAAAUCCUUGGGAGUUCCUGGUGGCCUGGCAGUUAAGGCUUUGGCGUUGUCACUGCUGUGGCAAGCGUUCACUCUCUGGCCCUGGAACUUCCACAUGCCAUGGGUGCAGCCAAAAAAAAGAUUUUAAAAAGACACACAAAAAAAAUGAAGGAAAGAAAAAAACCUCUGCUCUCCUACAAUUUAUAUUCCACCAAGAGAGAAAGACAAAAAGCAAUAACACAGGCGUUCCUGCUGUGGCACAGUGGGUUUAGAAUCCAACUACAGCAUUUUGGGUCGCUGCAGAGGCAUGGGUUCGAUCUCAGCCUGGUGCAAUGCGUUAAAGUAUCUGGUAUUGCAGCACUAUGACUUGAUUCAGUCCCUGGCCUGGGAACUUCCAUAUGCUGCAGGUACAGCCAUAAAAAAAAUUUUUAAAGUAACAUGGACAAGCAGACUGAACAGAAUCUAGCAGGUGGUAGGUGCACAGAGGUCAAGAGAAGGGCAGCGUGGGUGGGGAGUGUGGCCAGGCAGCCAGGGCGGGAUGGAGGCGUUAGCAUAUUGAGAUCACCCUUCUCAACUUCUUAGACGGUGAGUGUGUCCUUGUGUCAUUACAUAUCCUUUUGCAAUAUGGUUUUCCACGUCUCAUGAAUGUAUUGUAAUUAAUUGCACCAUUCUGUUCUAUGCGGCAAUUAGGUUUUCUUUGUUUUAACUAUCAGAAAUCAAGCUUUAAUUUCCUCCAAAGUAAAGAAGAGGAACCACAUAGCAUGGAGCCCACUGUUGAGGCUCAUGGCACCUGUCACCACCCAGGACACAGCGUCUUCAAGCUCAGACCCUCAUCCUCCCUUUCAGUUAAGGUUCCUGCCACCUGACAGUCUUUUCAUCAACUCACAGAAGUGCUCCAGCUUCUCCCUCCCCCCACCACUGGCUGCUCUAUGUAAAAGGAACCUUUCCCUAGAUGUCCACCUGGCACUGUGACAGGUCUAGAGCAGAAGAUGCAAUAAAUAUCUCCUGGAUUAAUAAAUGGAUAAAAAAUGAAUGAGUACUCAAAAAUCACUCUGGCUUUCAGACAGUCAGGGAGCUGCUUAGAAAUUUCCUUUCUCACUAAGGCUUCCAUCCAUCAAGAGGAGUGAGUCAUGUCUUAGACACAUUCAGCAUCUUCCCACCAGGGCUGCAAAGCAUUAGUGCUGGAAAGUGCACAGAACCUGGACUGCCAGAGAAUACUAUUAACCAUCUAAAUUAAAUGCUAAGUAGCACACAGAGACUCUGCAGAAAACACUGCCAUUACUUUCCUUCUUUCUACUUAAAGAUGACAAUUAUACACUACCUUAUGCUUGAAACCUAAGUGAGAAGUAUAUCUUUUAAUAGACCAUAAGGUUGUUUCACCCUAAAUUCCCACCAUAGCAUUACAAACUGCUACUCUCAUCAAAAACAAAAACAAAAAAACAAAACAAACCAAAAACACUUAAACUGUUGCAUAAAGAAAGAAGAAAAGGGAGUUCCCAUUGUGGCUCAGCAGUUAACGAGACCGACUAGGAUCCAUGAGGAUGAGGGUUUGAUCCCUGGCCUGGCUCAGUGGGUUAAGGAUCAGGCGUUGCCAUGAGCUGCGGUGUACAGACCCGGCUAGGAUCCCACAUUGCUGUGGCUGUGGUGUAGGCCAGCAGCUGUGGCUCCGAUUCGACCCCUAGACUGAGAACUUCCAUAUGCUGCAAGUGCGGCCCUAGAAAGCAAAAAAGAAGAAGAAGAAGAAGAAAGAAGAAAAGCUUUAAAAUGAUGUGUAUAAAAACCUGGCAGACAAUGCAAUUCGUGUUGUGGCUCAGUGGGUUAAGAACCCAACAAAGCAUCUCGGAAGAUGGUUCCACCCUUGGCCUCACUCAGUGGAAGAAGGAUCUGACAUUGCCACAGGCUGCGGUGUAGGUCACAGAUGCAGACCAGAUCCUGCGUUGCUAUUGCUCUGGCUGUGGCGUCAUAGGUCGACAGCCGCAGCUUCAAUUCGACCCCUAGCGUGAGAACUUCCAUAUGCGGUGGGUGCAGCCCUAAAAGGGAAAAAUAAAAGCCAAAAUAAUGAGAAUGGACAAAAGGAAGGAAAGAGUGCAGAUAAUUCUUUUGAAAAGUCUUGCAGGGAAAGGGAGGAGAAGACAGAAAAUUGCUACCAAUAGAAGGGGGUUCAAGAGUGCAUAUUUCAAGAUGGAAGGUAUUCUGAAUGCUGAUGAGGCGACCAGGGAAGAGGGGAAAUUACUGACGUAGAGAGAGUAGGAUCGAUUUAGAGAGAUGUCCCUGAGUGGGUGAGAGGUGACAGAGUUGAGCACAAGCAAGACAGGCCCUGGACAGACACACAGAUCAGAGUGUGGGUGUUUGAGCAGGAAGGAAAUCAGCAUCUAGAAGUGCAGGUGCAGUGGGUUGGUAGAUUUAGCUGAAAGGAUAGAUCUGUGUCUCCAAAGUCAAAAAUCUCAAAAUGCAAAAAAAAAAAAAAGAAGAAAUGCCGUACCUCUUGACCUGUGAAGGAGAGCUCUCAGAAUAUGAAACAGGCUCCUUGAGAGUAAUAGAGAAUACCCCCAAAUUAAGGAGGAGACACCAGAAAGCACAGGAAACCCACUGAGGAACGGAAAGGAAGAGACUGCUUGCAGUGUAGGGGACCCUGGCUGCAGAGACAACAGGACAAGAACGGAAAAUGCAUGAACAGGGACCCAUCACUACCGCCAGGCACGGUGCUCAGUCAUCUCCACGUG